Molecule: transfer RNA, 75 nt
Filed under: Methanobrevibacter ruminantium M1
Lineage: Archaea; Methanobacteriati; Methanobacteriota; Methanobacteria; Methanobacteriales; Methanobacteriaceae
Description: tRNA-Lys (TTT) (tRNA-Lys-TTT-2-1)
Rfam family: tRNA
About the family: Transfer RNA (tRNA) molecules are approximately 80 nucleotides in length. Their secondary structure includes four short double-helical elements and three loops (D, anti-codon, and T loops).
Source: Rfam by way of RNAcentral
GGGCCUGUGGCUAAGUCUGAUCAAGGCGUCCGGCUUUUAACCGGAAGAUCAGGGGUUCAAAUCCCUUCAGGCUCA